RNAcentral lists this ribosomal RNA (460 nucleotides) under uncultured bacterium. RNAcentral's name for it is "partial 16S ribosomal RNA". It matches the Rfam family "Bacterial small subunit ribosomal RNA", at positions 338 to 795 of the family's 1533-position model. The record is from RNAcentral.
CCUACGGGAGGCAGCAGUGAGGAAUAUUGGUCAAUGGCCGGAAGGCUGAACCAGCCAAGCCGCGUGAAGGACGAAGGUGCCAAGCAUUGUAAACUUCUUUUGUCAAGGGACAAAAUCAGGCUCGAGAGCCUGACCGAGGGUACUUGAAGAAAAAGCAUCGGCUAACUCCGUGCCAGCAGCCGCGGUAAUACGGAGGAUGCGAGCGUUAUCCGGAUUUAUUGGGUUUAAAGGGAGCGUAGACGGCGAGGUAAGCCUGAAGUGGAAGCCCGCGGCCCAACCGCGGAACUGCUUUGGGAACUGUUAUGCUGGAGUAUGGGAGAGGUAAGCGGAAUUCGUGGUGUAGCGGUGAAAUGCGUAGAUAUCAGGAGGAACACCGGUGGCGAAGGCGGCUUACUGGACCAUAACUGACGUUGAGGCUCGAAAGCGUGGGGAGCGAACAGGAUUAGAUACCCUAGUAGUC